RNAcentral lists this unclassified non-coding RNA (90 nucleotides) under Pseudomonas salomonii. The record is from RNAcentral. Lineage: Bacteria; Pseudomonadati; Pseudomonadota; Gammaproteobacteria; Pseudomonadales; Pseudomonadaceae.
UGUGGGAGCGGGCUUGCUCGCGAAAGCGGUGUUUCAGUCAACUCAUAUACGGACUGACAGAUCGCUUUCGCGAGCAAGCCCGCUCCCACA